This 1148-nucleotide long non-coding RNA is filed under the name Vigna radiata. RNAcentral's name for it is "long non-coding RNA (VRAD_LNC013490)". Lineage: Eukaryota; Viridiplantae; Streptophyta; Magnoliopsida; Fabales; Fabaceae. The record is from RNAcentral.
ACAAGGACAAAGGGAACUUAUGGAGAUGGUGCAAGACAUGCCUGAGUCUGGCUAUGAACUCUCUUUUCAAGACAUGGUGGUUCAUGAGAAGCAUGUGCUGGAACCAGAACAACCACAUCAAAAUGAAACUUCCCUGAACAACACACACAUGCAAAGUAGUGGCAAUAAAGCUCAACUAAAAAAGCUAAAGAAGAAGAAGAAAAUCAAAGAUAACGUUAGACCUGGUCAGAUAUUGCGGGUUGAAAGCAUGGACAGUGAAACCUUCCUCCUGAAGUUGUUCUUUCCAAUCUCUCUUGAUUGGAUGAAGAAGGAUAAAACGAAGAAUGAGUCCAAGGUUUCUUCUAGACCUUCAUUGCAGGAAUCUAUAAAACAAGUGGGAAAAGAUUGGAGAAUUAAAGGAUUUUCCCUUUCAGGAAACAACACAGAAGAUGGCAUGAGUGACACAAACAGGUGGAUACUGAAACUCUCCAUAUGUUUCGGAAACACUUCUAAUUCAGAGAGAGAGAGAGAUUGUGAAGAAAAAAUGAAAUGAAUUUCUUCACAAGCUAAGUGUAUAAACAAAUUUACGAAAUCUCUGUUAUAUAAUUUUUCUGAUUAUUAAUCCCUUUUAUGAAAUCGCUCUUAUAGAGUACUAUUCCUUUUUAUUAGACUUAACUCCUUUUAUUCAAUAAAAAUUUCCUUAUAACAUCUUGUAUUAGAGUCCAAGAGUCAUGAUUGUAGUGAUCAAAUAACUAGAAAUUAACGUAGUUUAAGUGAAACAAACUUGGUGUACUGUAUAUUAUCCACUGAUGCUUUCUUCGUUUCAUCAGGUAUGUUGAUCACAAUUCUUCAUUCUCAAAUGGAUGCUGGUCAUUCCUUCAUUGCGCAAAAAGAAAAUGAAAGAAUAUAAGAGGGUGAAUUACUUAUAAUGGAAAUACAAAACAUGGAGUGCAAUGGAAAUUCACAACAGUAAUAAAUAUGUGAAAGAGUAUUCCAGGGCAUGAAGAAUACCAAAGAAAGACACCAUAGAUUUUAAUUCCCAGGUUUGAUAGUCAAGGAAAUUCAUUUCUUUGUUCACUAGUUAGUAUUGAGAAAUGUAAAGACCACCAACUUCUCUUUGGUCAUAAUAUCAGAGCACAUAGCACAUGUCAAGAGUUUUGUAAUCCGAU